This 2632-nucleotide long non-coding RNA is filed under the name Nicotiana benthamiana. Its description in RNAcentral is "long non-coding RNA (NBEN_LNC035062)". The record is from RNAcentral. Lineage: Eukaryota; Viridiplantae; Streptophyta; Magnoliopsida; Solanales; Solanaceae.
GUUGCCCUCUUUCUCUCUGUUUUCUCUGAACUAUCCCUAACCCUAGCUGUCGUCACCGGAAACUCUCCGUUCCUUAGGUUUUCCCUGUGAUUUCAGGCCCCAUGCGGCCUCUAAUCUUCACUAGUUGUUCGACUUCCACGACAAUUUGAUGGAAUCUCAAAAGGAUUUGAACAACCUUUCUUCAAAUCCUUCAUUUUCUCGGUGAAUUCGCCUGUGUUCAUCUCUGUGUUUGUGAGUAAUGUUAUCUUUUAUGUUUAUGGCUUCAAAUCUCUAGUUCAAAUGAGAUUUUCUCACCUUUGUCUAUUUUAAAAAAAAACCCUAGUUACUUUCUACUUGAGUCCAUUCAGAUUUUUAUAGAUCUGAAGGGAUUUUUAGUUUAUUUGAUGUUAUUUUUCUAUUUUUACCAUCAUUAUUGGCCGGUUUUUACUUUCCUAAAAGCUAGGGUUUCAUCUUUAAAUUUUUUGUAAAAGUUCUAAAAAUAUUUAAGCAUUUAACUCCGGUUCUCUUUACUUGUUCGACUGGUUUUUCAUAUCUAUAUUUUAAUACCUAAGGCUUCUAUCUAUUCUACUGUUUGUUUUGAUAUUUGCCUGUUAUUCUUUAGCUACGACAAUUAAAAUGGAUUAAUUGAUUUUUAUUCGCCUAAUUAAGGUUUAGAAUUCCAUUUUCUUUUAAAAUCGAUAUCUCUUUGAUGAUAUUACUUAUUCCUUCCUUAUUUGUGACUCAUGAUUGAAACUACUUUCGUUAAUUAUAUUUCUAGCAUGUUUCCAGAUUCUGAUAUUUUUAACAGACCUAUAUACGGUCUUUAGACUUAUUGCUCACUUUAUUUUACUUUAAUCCUUUCUGUUGACUGAUUUCGUAUAAGAUUAUCCCUAAUUUAAGUGAUAUUUUUGGGAUUCUGUCUUAUGAAAUGGUUGUGUUUAGACUUAACCGAUGGUUAAUUGAUUUGCAUACUUUAUUUAUAUAUGGUUAAUUUUUCUUUCCUUAUUUGUUUACUCUGAUGAAUGCUAUAUAAACCUUCCACCAUUCUCAGGCACUUGCACGUACACAUUCAAAAAGUUGCACCUACACACAUAAACUCUUACUCACACACACUCUUCAUUGUGAUCUUUUUUGUUGCUUGUGCUUGCUGCACAGUCUACCCAGCUGAAAGCCAAGGCUAUACUAUUGCACUUUACUUGUUCUCAUCCUCCUGCUUACUAUCUUUUAACUGGUGUGUCUCCACUUCUUCCAUCGCUCAACAUGUUAUGCUAUUAGACAUAUGUGCGUCAUGCUUAUUAAUCUUAUUCAACGUGUUUACUUCUAUGUAAUUAGAGCUAUGUGCUUCAUGUUCAUUACUCUUAAUCAGCAUGCCUACAUCCAUGAAAUUAGACCAAUGCGUUUCUCGUUUUCAGCAUGUCUGCCUCUAUGUAAUUACAGCUAUGUCUAUUUGUUUCUCAACGAGCAUGAUUCUUGUCCUGCUUUAAGUGUACAUCCAUAACAAACUCCUGAUUAAUUCAUGGUCUCUUUGCCCUCAACUUUGUUACCUUUCUGUGUGAUUGUCUGAUCCCAGCAUGUUGUUUUGUGAUGAAUAUUUUCUUGUAUGUUCACCUUAUAAUAGCUAAUGAAUUAAGGCCAUUAAAACCUUGUUAUUACUUUACCCUGUCUGUUUGAUUGUUAGAUUUCAGGGCUGAACUCUUUCUGCUAAAUGUGUGUUGCUUGUGGUUCUUAUAAUCUGGUAAUUUUCUUCUAUGCACUUCUGAAAUCCAAACUAUUUUUCUAAAACAAAUAUUGUCUUCUAUAUUCAUACAUUAUUUUCAACUCUCACUCUUAGUUAACUAGGAUCCUUUCACCUCCAAUGUGAGGACUUCUUAGGGUCCAUGAGACUCUUCUAAAUUCUAACACAUUUGGGCUGGUUUCCAAUCCUUUAUGAACUGCUUAUGAACAUUUGUUCUCUAAGUGUGAGCACUGCCCUGGGUUCUUGAAAACCUUGGAAACUCAAACACACUAUAGAUCUGGGUUCUUGCUUUGCAAAUGGUUACUGUAUAUCUCUGAGCUUUGGAGCUGUUAUAGUUUGAAGGCCUGAUAUAUCCGGAUGCAUUGGGCAUGCUGCAGGAUUCCUAUAGUUCCAUACUUUGUUAUUUAUUCAUUUGUUAUGGUCUGUAUUAAUUAUUUGAAAUAACUAUGGGCAACAAUGAAUUAGGAAAAUUGGGCUUAGUUUAAUGUUUGGAUGAAAAUGGGGUAGAAAACCUACUUUAGAUGUCCACUUCUUUCAAAUAUUUUCACUACUAUAUGCUAGAUAUCCCACCUAUAGGUUAUUUAUAUUCUGUUACUAUGUAUAGUAAAAUAGCAUGCCUAAAGGACCAAAGUAAUUCUGAAUAUCCUUUCUAGAUUCACUCUACUGCAUUUAGAUACCAUUCCUAUAAGGCUAUCAAAUUAAUUUUCUGCAUUUAGAUACAUGCCUGCAAAGUUUCCAAAUUAGUUAUGCAUUUUCAAAACCAUGCCUAUAGAGUUAUAAAUUACUUAUGCACUUAGAUAUCAUGUCAAUAGGAAUUUCAGGAUCACUUCUGCAUUUAGAUACCAUGUCAAUAGGAAUUUCCAAAAUCACUUCUGCAUUUAGAUACCAUGCCUAUACGGUCUUAAGAUCAGUUCUUCU